This is a long non-coding RNA of Mizuhopecten yessoensis (Yesso scallop), 182 nucleotides long. RefSeq lists it as uncharacterized. NCBI's taxonomy places the organism in Eukaryota, Metazoa, Mollusca, Bivalvia, Pectinida, Pectinidae. The record is from RefSeq and is a predicted model, not a curated record. The transcript has 2 exons.
GUGUUUCAGGGCUCAGACGUGGUAGAUGGUGUCAUCUCUGCUCUAGGAAAACCAGAGGCCAGAGGCCAGAUAUACGAAGCCCUUGGCCCAGAAAGCUACUUCUUGCACGACCUGGUGAAAUUUUUCUAUUUCUGUAUGAGGAGGCCAUUAGUGGGAUUUGAGGAAUUCACUGAAAACUAUUU